Molecule: ribosomal RNA, 498 nt
Filed under: uncultured Glomeromycotina
Lineage: Eukaryota; Fungi; Glomeromycota
Description: partial small subunit ribosomal RNA
Rfam family: Eukaryotic small subunit ribosomal RNA
Source: RNAcentral
CCAAUAGCGUAUACUAAAGUUGUUGCAGUUAAAAAGCUCGUAGUUGAAUUUCAGGCCUGGCUGGACGGUCCGCCCUUCGGGUGAGUACUGUCUGUGGUCGGGUCCUACCUUCUGGCGAAGCGUCAUGGCCUUAACCGGCCGUGGCGGGGAACCAGGACUUUUACUGUGAAAAAAUUAGAGUGUUCAAAGCAGGCAAAUCGCUUGGAUACAUUAGCAUGGAAUAAUGGAAUAGGACAAUGGUUCUAUUUGUUGGUUUCUAGGACCGUUGUAAUGAUUAAUAGGGAUAGUUGGGGGCAUUAGUAUUCAAUUGUCAGAGGUGAAAUUCUUGGAUUUAUUGAAGACUAACUACUGCGAAAGCAUUUGCCAAGGAUGUUUUCAUUAAUCAAGAACGAAAGUUAGGGGAUCGAAGACGAUCAGAUACCGUCGUAGUCUUAACCAUAAACUAUGCCGACUAGGAAUCGGGCGAUGUUGACAAAAUGACGCGCUCGGCACCUCAUG